GUCCGGGUCCUGAACGCAAACGCGAAGAUGUCACCGACCUGGGGUCGGGGUCGGCGCCGGCGUCGUGAAGGCAACGGGCCUCACCAGCUCAGUGACCAGAGGGACGGUGAAGACGUUGGUGCUCUUGCUUCUCAGCUUCACCAAUCCACGACCAGCUGGCGGUGAGGAGGGAGGUUGCCGUGAGCGACGCACGUAAACGACAACACUGGCUCAAAAGCGUUUGUCACCUGACUUUGACGUACGACGGCGUCGUGCUGGAAAAGCUGCUUCACCACCAUCUUCUCGCUUUCGCUGGGAAUCUGUGCACAGAAUUCAACCAUUUGAACCCACCUAAAAGAAAUUCCCGUGGAAAUUUUCCACCCAGUGGCAAGCCUAACAUCAAGGCCAGUUGGACGCGAUCCCUAAAAAAAAAAAAGAGACAGGGACGAGGUGGUCGCAUCGAGUCCCGCGCGAGGCGGGAAGCGGCGGUCUGUCCACCUGUAGAGUGAGGAGACGAGCCGCCAGGAGUUUGUCUCCUGCUGCA
Long non-coding RNA from Syngnathoides biaculeatus (alligator pipefish), 523 nucleotides. RefSeq lists it as uncharacterized. NCBI's taxonomy places the organism in Eukaryota, Metazoa, Chordata, Actinopteri, Syngnathiformes, Syngnathidae. The transcript has 3 exons. The record is from RefSeq and is a predicted model, not a curated record.